Molecule: ribosomal RNA, 485 nt
Filed under: uncultured bacterium
Lineage: Bacteria
Description: bacterial SSU rRNA
Rfam family: Archaeal small subunit ribosomal RNA
Source: RNAcentral
CCCGAGUGCCGCCCGUUGAGGGCGGCUUUUCCACGGUGUAAGGAGCCGUGGGAAUAAGGAGAGGGCAGGACUGGUGUCAGCCGCCGCGGUAAUACCAGCUCUCCGAGUGGUGGGGACGAUUAUUGGGCUUAAAGCGUUCGUAGCCGGCUUAACAAGUCUUCCGUUAAAUCCAACGAUCUAAUCGUUGGGCUGCGGGAGAUACUGUUGGGCUAGGAGGCGGGAGAAGCCGACGGUAUUCUCGGGGUAGGGGUGAAACCCUGUAAUCCCGGGAGGACCACCAGUGGCGAAGGCGGUCGGCUAGAACGCGCUCGACGGUGAGGGACGAAAGCUGGGGGAGCGAACCGGAUUAGAAACCCGGGUAGUCCCAGCUGUAAACGAUGCGGGCUAGGUGUUGGGGUGGCCACGAGCCACUUCAGUGCCGCAUGGAAGCAAUUAAGCCCGCCGCCUGGGGAGUACGGCCGCAAGGCUGAAACUUAAAGGAAUUG